GACGAACGCUGGCGGCGUGCUUAACACAUGCAAGUCGAACGGAAAGGCCCUGCUUUUGUGGUGUUCUCGAGUGGCGAACGGGUGAGUAACACGUGAGUAACCUUCCCUUGACUUUGGGAUAACUUCAGGAAACUGGGGCUAAUACCGGAUAGGAGCUCCUGCUGCAUGGUGGGGGUUGGAAAGUUUCGGCGGUUGGGGAUGGACUCGCGGCUUAUCAGCUUGUUGGUGGGGUAGUGGCUUACCAAGGCUUUGACGGGUAGCCGGCCUGAGAGGGUGACCGGCCACAUUGGGACUGAGAUAAGGCCCAGACUCCUAAGGGAGGCAGAAGUGGGGAAUAUUGCACAAUGGGCGGAAGCCUGAUGCAGCAACGCCGCGUGCGGGAUGACGGCCUUCGGGGUGUAAACCGCUUUCGCCUGUGACGAAGCGUGAGUGACGGUAAUGGGUAAAGAAGCAACGGCUAAAUACGUG
RNAcentral lists this ribosomal RNA (468 nucleotides) under uncultured bacterium. Its description in RNAcentral is "partial 16S ribosomal RNA". It matches the Rfam family "Bacterial small subunit ribosomal RNA", at positions 28 to 507 of the family's 1533-position model. The record is from RNAcentral.